Molecule: long non-coding RNA, 708 nt
Filed under: Heterocephalus glaber (naked mole-rat)
Lineage: Eukaryota; Metazoa; Chordata; Mammalia; Rodentia; Bathyergidae
Description: lncRNA (ENSHGLG00100045620.1)
Source: RNAcentral
AAAAAAGAAACAGAUCCCUUGGCUGGAGGUCGGAUAACGUUCUGAAGGAGUUGAGAGCUGAGGAGGAAUGUUUUCAGAAGCAGCUUCCAUCUGUGUGAAGUGAUGGGGCAACAAUGGGAAAAGGACUUGAAAUGAUUCUUGUUCGACACUCGGAAUGCACUCUCCUCUUUGGAGUUAUCAAGAAACUAAGGUCAUCUGUUGGGUAGAACGACUAGGUUAGCUGUCCUGAGACGCAUACCGGGAAGCAUGGCCAUAUGCCAAGAGUGAAGCAGCUUUCCUCCACUAUGCCCGUCUGGCAUGAUGUUUCUGCCUUGGAAGCAGCCAAUGAUAGACUGAAACCACUGAAAGCAUGAGCAAAAAUAUACUUCCCCUCAGCUUAGUUGCGGAUGUCAACUACUUUGUUCCAGUAAUUGAAAGCUUUUGGAAUUUCUUUGCAGGAGGAGUUUGAAAAGGUUUGGAGAUUUGGGCUAGAAUGCUGUAAGCAAAGUUUGAUGGACAAUAGUGGUAGCAGCUCAGAAGACCAGAAUGCUGAUAGCAAUGUGAACAGUAAAAACAGUGCUCAUAAGGUUUCAGAUAGGAAUGAGGACUUUUGGGAAUUCAACUAGAGGCCAUGCAUGUUAAAUUUUGGUAAAAAACUUCUCUACAUUUUGUCCAUAUCCCAAGACUUCAUGUGAGGCUGAGUUUAAAGAUGGUAAAGUAAUUUAUCUG